AUUGAACGCUGGCGGCAUGCCUUACACAUGCAAGUCGAACGGCAGCACGGGUGCUUGCACCUGGUGGCGAGUGGCGAACGGGUGAGUAAUACAUCGGAACGUACCUUAUCGUGGGGGAUAACGCAGCGAAAGCUGUGCUAAUACCGCAUACGCCCUGAGGGGGAAAGCGGGGGAUCGACAGACCACGCCCGAUCAGAGCGGCCGAUGCCUGAUUAGCUUGUUGGUGGGGUAAAAGCCCACCAAGGCGACGAUCAGUAGCUGGUCUGAGAGGACGAUCAGCCACACUGGGACUGGGACACGGCCCAGACUCCUACUGGAGGCAGCAGUGGGGAAUUUUGGACAAUGGGGGCAACCCUGAUCCAGCAAUGCCGCGUGAGUGAAGAAGGCCUUCGGGUUGUAAAGCUCUUUUGUCAGGGAAGAAACACCGGCUCUAACACAGUCCGGGAAUGACGGUACCUGAAGAAUAAGCACCGGCUAACUACGUGCCAGCCGCCGCAGUAA
RNAcentral lists this ribosomal RNA (501 nucleotides) under uncultured bacterium. Its description in RNAcentral is "partial 16S ribosomal RNA". It matches the Rfam family "Bacterial small subunit ribosomal RNA", at positions 29 to 523 of the family's 1533-position model. The record is from RNAcentral.